CCCUUAGAUGUUGUGGGCCGCACGCGUGCUACACUGAGUGGAUCAGCGGGUCAGGUUGCGCGAAAGUGUUUCCUAAUCUUGAAAUCCGCUCGUGAUGGGGAUUGACGGUUGCAAUUUUCCGUCAUGAACGAGGAAUACCUUGUAAGCGCGGGUCAUCAUCCCGCGCUGAAUACGUCCCUGCCCUUUGUACACACCGCCCGUCGCUCCUACCGAUUGAGUGGUCCGGUGAGGCUUUGGGAUCUGAGCGGAAAGAGCGUUUCGCUGUUUCUGCUCGGAAAACUCAGUCGAACCUUAUCAUUUAGAGGAAGGAGAAGUCGUAACA
RNAcentral lists this ribosomal RNA (322 nucleotides) under uncultured eukaryote. Its description in RNAcentral is "partial 18S ribosomal RNA". It matches the Rfam family "Eukaryotic small subunit ribosomal RNA", at positions 1470 to 1796 of the family's 1831-position model. The record is from RNAcentral.